This 322-nucleotide ribosomal RNA is filed under the name Salmonella enterica. RNAcentral's name for it is "partial 23S ribosomal RNA". It matches the Rfam family "Bacterial large subunit ribosomal RNA", at positions 1223 to 1547 of the family's 2925-position model. The record is from RNAcentral. Lineage: Bacteria; Pseudomonadati; Pseudomonadota; Gammaproteobacteria; Enterobacterales; Enterobacteriaceae. RNAcentral also lists the same sequence under 1 other name.
GUUGGGUAGGGGAGCGUUCUGUAAGCCUGUGAAGGUGUGUCGUGAGGCAUGCUGGAGGUAUCAGAAGUGCGAAUGCUGACAUAAGUAACGAUAAAGCGGGUGAAAAGCCCGCUCGCCGGAAGACCAAGGGUUCCUGUCCAACGUUAAUCGGGGCAGGGUGAGUCGACCCCUAAGGCGAGGCCGAAAGGCGUAGUCGAUGGGAAACGGGUUAAUAUUCCCGUACUUGGUGUUACUGCGAAGGGGGGACGGAGAAGGCUAUGUUGGCCGGGCGACGGUUGUCCCGGUUUAAGCGUGUAGGUGUGUGUUCCAGGUAAAUCCGGUU